GGCCAAGGAAGACUAGAGUCACCCACUGGCACAAACAAGCUCAAUUUCAUCGAUGUCAGCAGAAGUCCUCUCAUGUCAGAUGUGAAUACGGCCCAUUGAGCUCACUCUCUGGAAAAUUAAGGAAAUGACAAGUGAAUGACCAAGCCUGGGUUCGUUGCUGGAGAAUGCUGAGGGCUCAGCGCAUGCCACAGGGGCUCCCAGCACAAAUAUCAUGAAGGUGUGGCAAAUAUAUGAGUCAUGCUGUCUCUGAAAAGAAGAACAUGAGUCCAGAUUGUUUCCGACGCUGCUCCAGAGCUUAUAGGGGUAGUCUCAACCAAUCAGGGAACCAGAAACAACACCAUGUGACUUCAGCUCUAUGUCUAGUCCCAGUGAAGCCAACUCAAAAAUGCCCUGUGAAAAUCUGCACUGAAAUUUGCAUCCAUAUCUGAACAAUGCAAACAAUUUCAUGGUCAUUUUUCAGUAACACUUCUGCAAACAAAAAGAAUGUGGUUGGAAACAACACGUUUUUCACAGAAGCUAAGUGAAUUCAAAAGGGGGUAUGUUUAGGGAGUGUUUCCAAUUUUGCUGCAAAGCUUCAUAUAGCUCUAAUGACCACAAAUGUAACUAAUACUGUUGGUUGAGAACAAAUGCAAGAACAAAGAGACAAAGAGAGCAAUUACAGGAAAACUGUUAACCCACUGAGUGCCCAAUGGCAAAAUGGAAGACUGAGGCAGCUGUAUCAGAAGAAAUAGAAGAAAAGUCAGAGAGAAACACAUAUAAAUUCCUAACAAAUACUAAAAUGAAAGACGCAUUCAGUAAGUCAGCUGAGAUGUACAAGGAUGCCCUGUGUCUGCUCCUAAACCAGGUUUUAAAGUUUCAUUGUGGUAUUAUGUAUGAUACUGUACGCUCUGUUGCAGUCGCAUAGUAUAAUCUGCCUCUCAGGGGAGUGAGUGGAGGAGGGCAAGCCCAGAAGGGUAUGUUGCAAUCAGAAUGUAAAGCUUUUGUUAGACACAUCAGUGCUCCUGGAUGGCUAGAUCUCAGCCAUGUGCCUUUUAUCAUCUUCACCUAACCCACAGUUAUCAUGCUUUGUCAUCUCCAGGCUGGGCUAUUGUAAUGUGCAUCAUUUAGGACUGCCCUUGAUGGUUACUGUGAAGCUUCAGCUAGAGCAAAAUAUUGUCACCUGCGUCUAAAGUUGAGCAAGCUGGUGUGCAUGCAAAACCUUUAACUAUGUGCUCUGAGCUGGUUACCAAAAUCCUCCUCUGGAUGCAAUUCAGUUAUCAUCCAAAAAUCCCUGAAAGGUCGCAGACCUGACUAUCUUAGGCUCAGAGUGUCUGUCUUUGCCUUUGCCCACUUGCAACGGUAGCAUUCCAGAAGAAAGUUCUUGCUGUCUUCCCCCAGGGAUGAAAUUAAAAAGGAGACUGGCAGAGUAGUCUAGGCGCAGACCCCUCAGCUCUCAAGCUCAUUCCCUUCUGUGGGUCACUAUACUGCAUGUUACGUUUUUUUAGGAUGGAGAGCAAGUUUCAUAUUCCACAGUUUAGGCCUCAUAGCCUGAUGGCAUUAAUCUCAUCAGCGGGUGAGGGAACUGGUGCAGGCAAGGGUGAGCUUCAUCAGUGACCAUUUUGGCAACAGCUGUUCAUUUUAAUCUCUAAAGUGCUCAAAUAUCACAAUAAUGGGUGCAAAAGGAAUUACCAAAAUAAAUAAUGUUUUUACAACAUUUUGAUAAAUACACAAGCUGUUGAAUGGCUGCUACAGAUAGAAAUAACUGCAACCACCAUUAUUACUUAUGAUAUAGUAUUCCACAUGAAGCUUUUCAUACUUGUUUCUGAUCUCAAUAUUCUUAAAAAGGUAUGUUUAUGUUUGGUGGAUUUUUUUUAAACUAUUGUACACAUUUACUGGUCUGAGGGCUUAGCAACAUCUGAAAUUCAAAACUGGCAUAUGUGUCUAGCUAAAGCAGUGUCAACAGACCCCAGAAAUGCAAAGCUGAGUGAAAAU
This is a long non-coding RNA of Mauremys mutica (yellowpond turtle), 1971 nucleotides long. RefSeq lists it as uncharacterized. The record is from RefSeq and is a predicted model, not a curated record. The transcript has 3 exons. Lineage: Eukaryota; Metazoa; Chordata; Testudines; Geoemydidae.